Molecule: ribosomal RNA, 492 nt
Filed under: uncultured bacterium
Lineage: Bacteria
Description: partial 16S ribosomal RNA
Rfam family: Bacterial small subunit ribosomal RNA
Source: RNAcentral
AAUGAACGCUGGCGGUAUGCCUAACACAUGCAAGUCGAGCGGCAGCACAGUAAGCUCUUGCUCUUGCUGUUGGCGAGUGGCGGACGAGUAACGAGUACAUCACAAUCUUCUUUUUCUUGGGUAAUUACGGAGGGCAACUUACACUACUACCUCAUACUACCUACGGGUUAAAUCAGAAGAUCUUCGAACCUUUCUCGUUUGAUAUAGCCGAUGUCGGAUUAGCUAGUUGGCUUGGUAAAGUCCCACCAAGGCGACGAUCCGUAGCUUGCCUGAGAGGAUGAUCAGCCACACUGGAACUGAGACACGGUCCAGACUCCUACGGGAGGCAGCAGUGGGGAAUCUUGGACAAUGGGCGAAAGCCUGACGCAGCCACACCGCGUGGGUGAAGAAGGUCUUCGGGUCGUAAAGCCCUGUUGUUGGGAAAGAACAGAAGUAGGUUAAUCCCUGGAUGUCUUGACGGUACCCAAAGAAUAAGCAACGGCUAACUUCGUG